RNAcentral lists this ribosomal RNA (460 nucleotides) under uncultured bacterium. RNAcentral describes it as "partial 16S ribosomal RNA". It matches the Rfam family "Bacterial small subunit ribosomal RNA", at positions 338 to 795 of the family's 1533-position model. The record is from RNAcentral.
CCUACGGUCGGCAGCAGUGAGGAAUAUUGGUCAAUGGGCGAGAGCCUGCACCAGCCAAGUCGCGUGAAGGAUGACGGCCCUACGGGUUGUAAACUUCCUUUGUCAGGGAGCAAUUGAGUCCACGUGUGGGCUUAGCGAGAUUACCUGACGAAAAAGCAUCGGCUAACUCCGUGCCAGCAGCCGCGGUAAUACGGGGGAUGCGAGCGUUAUCCGGCUUUAUUGGGUUUAACGGGUGCGUAGGCGGAAUAUCAAGUCAGAGGUAAAAAUUCGGGGCUCAACCCCGUCGUGCCGUUGAAACUGAUGUUCUUGAGUGGGCGAGAAGUAUGCGGAAUGCGUGGUGUAGCGGUGAAAUGCAUAGAUAUCACGCAGAACUCCGAUUGCGAAGGCAGCAGACCGGCGCCCAACUGACGCUGAAGCACGAAAGCGUGGGUAUCGAACAGGAUUAGAUACCCGGGUAGUC